CAGCCGCCGCGGUAAAACGGAGGGUGCAAGCGUUAAUCGGAAUUACUGGGCGUAAAGCGCACGCAGGCGGUCUGACAAGUCAGAUGUGAAAUCCCCGGGCUUAACCUGGGAACUGCAUUUGAAACUGUCAGGCUGGAGUCUUGUAGAGGGGGGUGGAAUUCCAGGUGUAGCGGUGAAAUGCGUAGAGAUCUGGAGGAAUACCGGUGGCGAAGGCGGCCCCCUGGACAAAGACUGACGCUCAGGUGCGAAAGCGUGGGGAGCAAACAGGAUUAGAUACCCGGGUAGUCCCUGUCUCUUAUAC
RNAcentral lists this ribosomal RNA (301 nucleotides) under uncultured bacterium. Its description in RNAcentral is "partial 16S ribosomal RNA". It matches the Rfam family "Bacterial small subunit ribosomal RNA", at positions 509 to 807 of the family's 1533-position model. The record is from RNAcentral.